AGAGAGAGACAUGCGCGCAUAUCAAUAAGCGGAGGAAAAGAAACUAACUAGGAUUCCCUCAGUAACGGCGAGUGAAGCGGGAAGAGCUCAAAUUUGAAAUCUUCAAGGUUCUACCUUGACGAAUUGUAGUUUAAAGAAGUGUUUUCUGUUGGAGUUUUGGUAAAAGUUCUUUGGAAUAGGACAUCAUAGAGGGUGAGAAUCCCGUAUUUGACCAUUUACUUUCAGCUUUGUGAUACACUUUCAAAGAGUCGGAUUGUUUGGGAAUGCAGUCCAAAAUGGGUGGUAAAUUUCAUCUAAAGCUAAAUAUUGGCGAGAGACCGAUAGCGAACAAGUACCGUGAGGGAAAGAUGAAAAGAACUUUGAAAAGAGAGUUAAACAGUACGUGAAAUUGUCAAAAGGGAAGCGUUUGACACCAGUGUUGUUUUUCUGAAAAUCAAUUAAAGAACUGUUUAUGCUAAGCUGUUUAGACUUUAUCAGCUAUCUGUUUAGUUUUGAGCUUUUCUUUAAUGCACUUUUCAGUUAACAAGUCAACAUCAAUUUCUUUUGCUGUAAAAAAGCUUGAGGAAGGUGGCUUGAGAUUCGUCUUAAGUGUUUAUAGCCUCUUGCCUAUGCAGUCGGAGAGAUUGAGGUCUGCAGCGUAGAUCCUUCGGGGCUAAUGCAUUUGUGCUAAGUUAUAGCAUUUUAUAGACAACUUGUUGACUAUGAUCUGUCAUGUAGCUUACUCGCUUAUGCUAUUUUACCUACGCUUAGGAUGUUGAUGUGAUACUGCGAGCA
RNAcentral lists this ribosomal RNA (774 nucleotides) under uncultured Neocallimastigales. RNAcentral's name for it is "partial large subunit ribosomal RNA". It matches the Rfam family "Eukaryotic large subunit ribosomal RNA", at positions 23 to 646 of the family's 3401-position model. Lineage: Eukaryota; Fungi; Neocallimastigomycota; Neocallimastigomycetes; Neocallimastigales. The record is from RNAcentral.